UACAGAAGGAAUAAGUCACGAGAAUAAAAGGCACAGCAUAAGGAAUAUAGUUGAUGUAUUUUUUUUCUGCGAUUCCUCUUAUUUUUCCGUCAUGACUCUCUCUAAAUGAAUGAUACUGCUAAGCCCUGAUACUUACAGUGCUUCUCUCUCUCUCCCUCCCCCCUUCUCUCUCUUUCUCUCUUUUGAAUUUUCCACUAACAAAUCUUAUCAAGUCACUCCAGAGUUGCCGGCUUCCUUUGUCAGCCAGGGGGAGAGGAAAACAAAGAUGUCUGGAGAGCUUCCCCCACGCACCACCGUGAGGCGAACAGAGAAGGAACUGGACCUGCCUUCUAAGCAGCACACCGUGCGUCAGCCUCAUACCCUCAAGGAUGCAUCGAGCUGAGCGGACACUUCAUUGUGACUGGAACAGCACAUCAGGCCCAGACACUCUGAGGCGGCUCAGUGUCAGUGGGAGAAUCUCGAUGCUUCAGACAGACUGGUAAUAAGCAUCCACUUUGUGCUACAGACUCACCUUCCCCCGGUUUCUCGAAAAAGAGCAGGAGAGAUGGUUGUUUUCCUUCCCCUGUUGCUUUUUGGGUUUCUCUUUCACAUCAGUAUUUUAAUCUGGGGCCCAACCAAGAACAUGGGAGGACAGGCGAGGAACUGGGUACUAGCCUCAGGAUCUUUCCAGACUCUCAUUUCUCACCGUCUGGCUGUAGGGCAAGCAUCACCUGGGGACAUGUCAGAAGCAACAAUCUCAAGAUCCAGUCCAGACCUACUGAAUCAAAGUCUGCGUUUUCACAAGAUCCCCAGGUGACUUGCCAGCACCCUGAAGGGUGAGAAUCCUUGCACCACAGCAUGAUAAGAACCAUGCCACACCCCGGUUUCCUCGUUUGCAAAUGGAAAGGACAAGAAAGGUACUUUAGGCGGCUAUGACUCAUGCAAAGAGCCUAAGACAGAACCUGACCCACAGGAAGUAUUUAGCAGAAGCAAAAUCAAUUACAAUUUUAUUGCUGUUGUUCUUGCUAACAUCCCCGUUCUCAUCAUUUGGAACCUCGUCUGCUGUUCCACAGUCUGAGGAUCUCUUCCACUAGCAUAUGUUGGUGUUAUCAUACAAAUAUGUUCAGGAUUUUUC
RNAcentral lists this long non-coding RNA (1114 nucleotides) under Ursus maritimus (polar bear). Its description in RNAcentral is "lncRNA (ENSUMAG00000012420.1)". Lineage: Eukaryota; Metazoa; Chordata; Mammalia; Carnivora; Ursidae. The record is from RNAcentral.